Molecule: long non-coding RNA, 1436 nt
Organism: Mugil cephalus (flathead mullet)
Lineage: Eukaryota; Metazoa; Chordata; Actinopteri; Mugiliformes; Mugilidae
Exons: 3
Source: RefSeq, a predicted model, not a curated record
CACUUUGUUUAGUCAUUAAAUUCAAUCUUUGCUGAGACUUUACAUCCACAUUUCACUAACACACACAAACUGAUGGCAAUGUUUUCUGUGUUUCAGAUCAUCAUCUUCCUCCUCCUUCUCUUGAAACUGGCCCUGACUGCACUGGUGUCAUCAUUGGUGCAGUGAUAGGAGUCCUGGUCCUGGUUCUAGUUGUGGUUCCGGUGGUUUGGUUCAGAAAACGCAUCUGUGGAGGUGCUUCUGAAAAAGACAAAGUCAAGUACAAAGGUACCAACAGCGUCUUAGGCGUCUCUGAACAGCGACAACAGCUCUGACUCUGGUGUUAAGGGUUCUGCUGGCUCUGGUUCUGGAGCCUCUACUUCUUCUACUGAUGCUGCUUCUUCCCCUGUGGCAGAAGACAGUGGCAACGAUGAGGCUGAGAAUUCCUGAACAGAAAUGAUCCAGCGAACGUCUGAAGUCUCCAGAAAUACUUCAUCAGAAACAUCAGAUCCAUCCGUCAAUGAGAAGGAGACUGAGACUAAGAGGAAUGUAAAUUAAACUAAAGCUUUUUGUAGCUUAGAAAACUGUAUAAGUAUUUUUCAAUCUUCAAUGUGACAUUUAGAUGAACUUGUUUGAAUCAGGAGCGUUUUUUAGAGCGAGCUGGAAGAAAUGAAACUAAUCCCGGGGUUUAGACUUUAAAGAGUCGAGAUUAAACUAGAAAGAUUUCUUCAUGGUGAACAUUUAAAACCUGGUUUAUGUUAGAUUAGUGAUGUGUUUCAUGUAGAAGAGUCAGGGAGAAACUUUCAAAUGAAUUUAAAAUCAGAAAAGAAAACAGAAUUAAAACAAGAAGAAGAUUAACAGAAAGUUUAAAGUAGAACUUUAUUGGUGCCUUAAUCUGGAUUAUUGAACAGUUUGAACCACGUUUUACAAACAGUCUGAAGUCGAUACACUGGCAUCAUAAUUUUAUAUUAAUCUGAUGUAUUGUGACCAGACACAUCAGGAAUGAUUGGAUGUAAAUAGUUGUUACUCUCUAGAUUUAAACUCCUUAGCUGUAUAAGUGUGACCUGGUACCAGCAACAGAACUUUGCUGUAAACAGAUUAUUAUUUUAUUAUUUUAUUAGUAAAUCUCUUCUUCAUGUUUUAAAGCUAAUAAUCAUUAAAUAUGCACCUGUCUUCAGUGAAUUCAGUUUGUAGAUGGGAUGUUAAGCUCUUUUAUUUUUAAAUGUACUCUGUGUAUUAUCUCUGUUUUUACAUUUUUAUCAUGAAUAAUCAUUUCCCGCUGAGGAGCACUUUGGUUUUACUUGCUUUAAGUUCUGAGCACGAUGUUUUUGGAUGGUUUCAGUUCAUUGUUUUCCAGCAGAUUAUUAUUAAAGGUUAUUUUAAUCGGACAAGAACUGAUUUUACUGUUUAUUCUCUUUUUGUGAAUGGCUUUCAGAAAUUAAUAAAAGUGACUUAGUCAA